This 13302-nucleotide long non-coding RNA is filed under the name Nicotiana tabacum (common tobacco). RNAcentral's name for it is "long non-coding RNA (NTAB_LNC007753)". The record is from RNAcentral. Lineage: Eukaryota; Viridiplantae; Streptophyta; Magnoliopsida; Solanales; Solanaceae.
CUCUAUUCUAUCAUAGAUAACUAAGAGAAAAUCACUACAGUGUAGAGGGAUUUUCGGUAGUGGCAGGGAUUCUCUUCAACCGUUGGUGGCGUGAACUUAGAGAGCUAGAAAGAGUAAAAUAUUUUUGCAACUUACAAUACAACUGUGAUAAAGUCAUUACAAGUCAAUAUACUGUCCAUAUUCAUACAAGUAUACUGGAGCUGCAAAUUAUGGAAACAAAUAAAGGAGCAACGAUCAAAUUUCCUUGGGCUAUGCAAUAGCCAGAACAAGUUGAACGGGCUAUAAAUAGACAAGCUCUAUGAAGGAAGAAAGUGCGCAGCCUUCUAUACAAUUGUCUAUCCAACUAUAAGUUCUUUAUUCUACUCUUAACAAGCAUUGUAAUUCACUUUUAGUAGAUUUACUGUGUACACAAAAGAGUGAAGAGAGACAGAAAAAUAUUGGAGAGGCAGUGUGUCCUUAGAGGUUGUGUCAUUAUUCGUUUCUUUGGUGAGCGAGUGAAAACCAAAGAGUCGUUGUUGGUGAGCGAGUAAAAACUAACCUUUUGCGUUGUUGGUGGGCGUGUUAAAACCAACCCUUGUUCGUUGUUGGUGAACGUUGAAAAUCACACAAGCUGUACUCAACUCAUAUUACAAAGAGAUCAAGAGAUAACAUCCUUGCAACCCAAGGAUACUAGAGUAUACCACAUUGGUUACGAACCAGUAUAAAAUUUCUGGUGUCAUUUACCUUACUGCUUUCAUAUUUUAUUAUAAGCAAUUACUGUUUGUUGAUAUUAGUAUUUGAUUGGAUCGAAGUACUAACAGUAUUGUAUAGGUUGUCUCCGUAUUAGUCGACUAGGUCUGAGGAAUAGUCGACUAGAAAUUUAAAAAAGCUACAAUUCACCCUCCCCCCUCCCUUCAUACUCUUGUACUUUCAAUUGGUAUUAGAGCAGGUCUCAUAAUUUUACUUUUGCUUAAUAGCAAAUGAGAAAAGAUCAUGUCAACACAUACAGUUAUCGGAUCCUUGCUCCAAGAGGGGACUUCUGCAUUAAGACCACCAUACUUCAACGGACAGUAUUACACUCACUGAAAGUUCGAAUGGAAGCUUUCAUCAAAUCUUAUGAUAUCAAAGUAUGACGAAUCAUCAAGAAGGGUGACUUUCCUCUUCUACAUUCCAAACCAGAAAAGAAACCAGAAGGACAGGUAUCUACUGAAACCCUUGAUAUUGAUGAUUAGACUGAUGAGCAUAUGGCGAUCGUGCAGAUAAAUUUAAAGGUAAAAAACCAAUUAUACUAUGCUAUAAGCGGAGAAGAAUUUGAGAAAAUAUCAAGUUGUGACACAGCCAAAGAAAUAUGGGAUAAACUGGAAGUUAUCUAUGAAGGUACCGGUAAAGUAAAAGAGACAAGGAUAAACCUUCUGAUUCGUGAUUAUGAGCUGUUUCAAAUGAAUGAUGAUGAAUACAUUGAAGACAUAUUUGGCCGAUUUAGUAAAAUAAUUGGAGAUCUAAAAUCUUUUAGAAGACCAUAUUCAAGUGGUGAACAAGUGAGAAAAAUUCUAAGAAGUCUACCCACUUUAUGGCAACCAAAAGUUAUUACUCUUGAAUAUGAAGAUCUCGACAAACUAUCAUAUGAUAAACUUAGUGGAUACCUUAUAUCCUUUAAGCAAACCCAUCUCAAAAAGCAUGGACAUGAAGAGAAGAAAAAGUGUGUUGGCUCUAAAUCAACUAUUAUUGAGUCUGAAGGUGAAGACGAAGAAGAAGGAGACAACCAUCAAGAUGAUAUUGCAUUAUUUUCUAGAGUUGUCUCUAACACGACGCAAAGAAGCAAGAAUAAUAGAAGAGACAAAUAAAGUUCUAGAAAAGGUAAUGAAAUAAGUGAGCAGAAAAAUAAUGAUAGAAAAUGCUAUGAAUGCGAAAAUUAUGGUCACAUCCAAGCCAACUGUCCAGAACUAAAAAGAAAAUUAUCUAAGGGCAAUCGGAAGAGAAAAUCUUUCAGUGUAAAAAGUGAUGAAUAUAUGCCAGAUAAAGAUCAUAGUUGAGCUGCCAACCUUUGUUUCAUGGCACGAAGUAAAACAAGUGAGAAAAUAAAAUCUUUAGUACCUGGAGUGAUGAAGAUAUAUUAGACAACGAUCAUGAGGAAUCUACAAGCAACUGUUUCAUGGCCCCAAUUUAAAUAAGUUAAGUAAAAUCUCAUGACUGUGAUAAAUGUAAUAAACUUCAAAAUAUCGUAGAACAGGCUUUAGAAGAUAUGAGAAAAAUUCUUGAUGAGCUCAAGAAGACUAAAUGGGAGAAGAAGAACUGGAAGACUCAACUUGAAGAAUAUAACAAGUUGAAAAAGGAAAAGGAAGAGUGGGAUAUUCUACUCGAAGAUUAUCAGGUUGAAAAUGACUUACUUCAAGAAGAAAAUGCGGAACUUCGCAAACAAAUGAAUAAUUUGCACAAAUCUUCCCGUCAUCAUUUUGAUCGACCGAACAAGCAGGCUCACUUUUUUAAUAACUCCAAGUUGACUGACAAGGGAUCUACUAGUAGAUGCCCUACUUCAAACAAGUCGACUCAGGAAAGCUUCAAGUCGACUAAGGCACCCGCUGAUAAAUACUCUACUUCUUUUGUUACAUGUAACUACUGUGGUAAUUUUGGACAUAAGGCAUUUGCAUAUAAUUAUGCCAAAAGUCAUGUUAGAUCAAAAUUUGUUUGGAGACCUACACAGUUACAUAUAUCUCCAAUUAUACAAGUUACUAACCAUGAAAGACCCAAAAAGGUUUGGGUACCAAAAAUAAACUAAUUUGUUUUGCAGGAAUUCCUUAGUCCAGCCAUAAAAAGGAUCAAAGAUGUUUGCAUAUUGGCUGGUCGAGGCACAUUCUUAAAGAUGCUUCAAAGUUUUUACAUAUUCAACAGAGGAUGAAGGAAAUACGACGUAUGAUCUAAAGAAGUGACUGGUAUAACUAAGGUUUAAUCAAGUUCUUCUCGCUGUAUUAGGUGAUAUGUAUCCAGUUAUUGAUUUAGUAAAGUAUAGCCUAGUAUAUGCAUAUUAGUCACCUGUAUACACUUUGAGUCCACUAGCUACAUCACAUGUUAUUCUAUUUGGUAUUAUUUUUUAUCCAUAACUUAGAGACUUUAAAUAGCUUUAGUACAUACCAUGUCAUUUGCAUAAGAUAUUAGGACGAGCAAGCAUGUGAUUAUAUUGAUAUCGUACAAUCUUGACUCAUGCCUAUAUGUGUCUUAGAUUAUUCUUGAAGUGAAUUAUAUGUGUGAUAUUUGCUUUCCUGAUAAGAAUACUAAUGCUUCAUUCAAGUCAAGAAAGUUAUUCACCGUAAGGUCAAUUCUGCACAUGAAAAUCUUCGGACAAUACUUAAAAGGUUGAAAAAAAAAGUUAUGUAUUUCUAUUGUUGACGAUUAUUCACCUCAAUUGGGUUAUGUUCUGGAUCUAUAUUGGAGAACAAUUUAUAUGAGAUAUGAGAUGAAGAAAAAUCAAUUGUUGAUUAUGUUCAUCCUUUUGGUUAAAUGUCUAGCCACUAUCAUGGAAAGGACAAAAAUUGGUAAGAUUGACGGUAUCUUCAUUAGCCCUUACUACCAGCUAAUCUAUUGACAUGAAUUUAUCUUAUUGGGCUUAUGUAUCUUUGAGCAAGAGUGUGAAUGCAGAUUGGUAUUAGUACAUUCAUACAAGUUGAUCUAGAAAAUCUAUGAGGAGCAUUGUGUUGAAUGAUGCAUUCUAGAAAUACAAGAAUAGCUGAAUAAAGUCAAAAGAGACAAAGUAUGAGAGCCGACCAAGUAUACAACUAAGUAUAUUCGAAAAAUGAGCUUGAUGGUGAGGUUGAGAAACAAGGGUAAACUUGUAGCAUAAGGUUUCAUAACAAGAAGGUUUGCUUCUUCAUUAAUUUUUUUGCUAGAGUAUUAUUUUUCAUGUGCAUCUUAUAGAGCUUUUAAAUUGUUUCAAAAUACAUAGUGAGUUUCUUUAAAUAAUGGAGAUCUUGUUUUCUAACAUCCCAAGAAUUGAGAAUUUUCUAAAAAUUUUUAUGACCAAAGCUUGAUAAUUUUCCAAAAGUUUUUUAUAAAAUAAAAUUUAAAAAGGGGGUGUGGGGGGGGGGGAGGGCAUGAUCGUGAGUUUAUAUUUGCAAGUGUUUAUAUUGAUAACAUAUGAUAGUACUAAUCAAAAUUUAUGUCAAGGAUUUCUCAAGCUUAUGCAUGGUGCUCAAUACUGAUACUAACAUGAUGAAGAAUUAAUUUUCUUCUCUCAAGUUCCAAAUAAUUCAAAGCCAGCAAAGAAGAAAAUUAGUUAGUCACUGAUCUUUGAAGUACCAAAGCGAAAGUUGAAUGAAAAAAGCAGAAUUGACAUAGAGCGAUUUUUUGCAAUUCAUCAGUGUCAUGGAAAAGCCAAAAGCAACGUUCCAUAAUCUUAUCUAGCUGAUGAUGAAUAGUUUUGCAUAAGAAGUUGCAGAUAAAUUCUUUGAUGGAAUAUCAACUAGAGGACAAAGCGUAACACUGUCAUUAUAUUUCAUGAGACGAAUGGUAAGUACGUCUUGAGGUUAUUAUAACACGCAGAUAUUUCCUCACUUUGAGGAAAGAAUUUGAUAUCGGGGUGAUGUCUUAGUGCUCCUUUCUUGAAAGAAUGAGUCAUUAUCUCUUUGGUAACUGAUUCAUUAUCAUCUUUAUUCUUAUGUGUUUAUAUGUUGAAGUUUGCCUAAGGUUCUAGUCAUAUACAAAUCUUUCGACUCGAUAAAAAUCUUGCUAAAAUAUUUCCUUAACUAUUUGCAGGCUUUCUAAUUUUUUUGUGAAUAUGGUGCAACUCUUCUACUACAUUUCAAACGUACUUUGAAAAACUAAAACAACUUGUGAAUUUUCCUCUUGAAAUAUUUCUAGACUUUUCAAUUGAUUCGAUUAAGUUAUCAUUUCUUAUUUGUGUGAUUAAUGUGUACUCUCAUCGGCUUAAAUCUAUCUUCACACAAUUUGACGUCCUCGAUAAGUAUAUUCUUUACCCGUCUUUUAUGUCCUUGAAUAUUUUGUCUAUGCAUUGAAUUCAUAUAAAUGUCUCACCCUUUUGAUGAUGACAAAAGGGGGAAAAAAUAAUGUGUACAAAAGCUCAAAAUUUCAGAUACAAUGCAUGGAGACAGGGGGGAGCAUAAUUGAGGAAUGCAUAGAGUGAGGGGGAGUUCUCAUUUGUUGUACUACCUACAUUUUGAGAAGAUUACUUCAGGAAAGUAGACAGUUUAUCUCACAUAUCCCAUUACUGCCUUUAAUUAAGUCUUUGAUUAAAUUCUCUUAUUUUGUACUCAAUGGUUUGCCAUCAUCAAAAAAGGGGAGAUUGUUAGCCUCAAGGUUUCACGUAUUAAUUUUGAUGAUAACAAACCAACAUAAUUAUUAAUCAAAGAAUAUUUACUUGUGGUAAUUUUAUUCUUGCACGGGUUUGUUCAAGGAAGAAGAUGUUAGUAAAGAUCCAAAGAAAUAUGAGAAAGAGAAUUUCAUGUAAAUAAUUUAUGAGCAAAAAUAUUAUCAAGGAAAAUUAUUUUCAGAGAUUUAAUCUCCAAGCGUCAUAGAAGGAAUAAUAUUUGAAAGUCAAAUUUCAAAUAUUGAAGAAGAAUCUGCGGAAAUUAUGGAAGGAAAAGUUUUUCAAUAUCUUGAAAGGAAAGUUGUUAAAAUCAUGGAGAAAAACUAUUAUUUUGUGGAAAGAAAAUACUGUAUGGAAAAGAUACUACAAGGUCAAGGAAGAAUAUAUUUUCUAUGAAAAGAAAAUAUAUUAUAGAUGUAGUACAAUCUAUAUUAUGGAAAGAGAUUAUUUUUCAAGAUAGAAAGGAAUAUUUUCAAUAUAAUAGAAGAAGAAUAUAUUUUCUAUAGAAAGAAAAUAUAUUAUGAAUGUAGUACAAUCUAUAUUAUGGAAGAUUAUUUUCCAAGAUCAAGAAAGGAAUAUUUUCAAUGUAAUAGGAAUUCAAAGAUGCUACUAUUAUUUAUGAAAAAAUAUUUUUACUGCAUUCCUUCUUUGGUAUGGAAAGAAUAAUUUAUGGAAAUAAGUUUGAGUUCCAUAUAAAGAAUGACUAUUGCUCUUAUGGAAAUUCAUGAAUAUUGAAUCAAGACUAAAGAAGGUUGAAGAAUGAUGCACGUGAAGAUGCAACAGAAAUUAAUUAUGAAAUGAAAGGUUUUCUAAAGAAGAUCAACCAAGAUAUUGCAUCCAAAUAAAGAGAGAAUAUUCUACUACCAUAAAAGGAAAAAGUGGUGUAGUGAAUGAAGAAUCAACAAAAGGAAUGUUGAAGAAUUGUAUUUCUGAAUCAAGUUUCUAUAGGCCUACGAAGAAAAUUACUUAUGAUCAAAUUGAGAUCUCAUUAAUGACUCAAGCACCAAGAAAAGAAAAAAGGAAAAGAAUCCUCUACACAAUGAUUCUCAUGCCGGUACUCAACGAAGAUUUUACAUAUUCAAGGAAGGAAAGUGGAGACAACGAAAUACAAGAAGCCAAACAAGGAAAAGAAAUCAAUGUUGCAAAGAUACCUAUGGUAUAUCCACCUUCAAAAGAGUGCCAAGUCAUUAUACUGUCCAUAUUCAUACAAGUACUGGAGCUGCAAAUUAUGGAAACAAAUAAAGGAGCAACGGUCAAAUUCCCUUGGGCUAUGCAAUAGCCAGAACAAGUUGAACUGACUAUAAAUAUACAAGCUCUAUGAAGGAAGAAAAUGUGCAACCUUCUAUACAAUUAUCUAUCCAACUACAAGUUCUUUAUUCUACUCUUAACAAAUAUUGUAAUUCACUUUUAGUAAAUUUACUGUGUACACAAAAGAGUGAAGAGAGAUAGAAAAAUAUUGGAGAGGCAGUGUGUCCUUAGAAGUUGUGUCAUUAUUCGUUUCUUUAGUGAGCGAGUGAAAACCAAAGAGUCGUUGUUGGUGAGCGAGUAAAAACCAACCUUUUGCGUUGUUGGUGGGCGUGUUAAAACCAACACUUGUUCGUUGUUGCUGAAAGAGUAGGAUACCACAUUGGUUCCGAACCAGUAUAAAAUUUCUGGUGUUAUUUACCUUACUGCUUUCAUAUUUUAUUAUAAGCAAUUACUGUUUGUUGAUACUAACAGUAUUGUGCAGGUUGUCUCCAUAUUAGUUGACUAAAUCUGAGAAGUAGUCGACUAGAAAUUUAAAAAGGUUACAAUUCAACCCCUCUUGGUGAAGGCAAUUAAACCGAAAGUCUGUAACUUAUCAGUUUAAGGGAGGUAUUGUUGGGAUUAUCCUUUUAUUUAGGAAUUAUUUGUUUAAUGUUUGUUUGGUCUUUUAUUUAGUUGAAUUGGUCAGCUCCUAGUUAUUAGGAAGUGGACGAGUGGUUUUAGUUGACAUAGUGGAGUCUGUUAGGAGUCCUAGUUAAUGUUUGUUUAGUCGUGGGUUUGUGGGUUUCAUGCGCAGUCAUGAAGUCUCUGUAAAGGCCUAUAUAAUGGCUUCUUCUGUUGCAAAUAAAGGUGUGAGUUUGCAAUAUUAAAAAUGCCAUCUUAUCCAUUUUCUUAUCUGCUCUAUUCUAUCAUAGAUAACUAAGAGAAAUUCACUACAGUGUAGAGGGCUUUUCGGCAGUGGCAGGGAUUCUCUUGAACCGUUGGUGGCGUGAACUUAGAGAGCUAGAAAGAGUAAAAUAUUCUUGCAAGUUACAACUCAACUGUGAUAGAAAGGUAUAGGUUUAAUUUUAUCACUAUGGCUAUAUUUCUUGAAUUAAUCUAGGAAGGAUAUCACUAAUUCUUUUUGUUAUAAUGACAAAGAUCGAGUUGGGAACAGUGUGGUCAUGGAAAACAUUGUAGUAUUUAUAAGGCCAUGGGAAUAUAAGUAGAAUUUUGUAAUGAAAAUCUUACUAUUUAAAAUAUGGAUAAGAACUAUUUGAGAUUGCCCUUUUGAAGUUAGAACACUUUGCACAUGGAAUUCGUUUUAGAGUUUUGUAUAUAUUGUUAGAUUAGUUACAUACUUGCAUUACAUAUAUUCAUGUAAUAAGGUUAGAAUUCCUCUAACUCACGUGUAGUUACAGGUGCAUUAAUGAGCGUAAAGUUUAGGAUGAUUAGAAACCUUUUAAGCCAGCCAAAUAAGCUUUGAAUAUGUGAAUGAUUAAGGGAUUAGUCGACUGAUUAGCAUACCAAUUGUUGGAUUUAGUAUAAGAAUUCAGAUUUGCCUUAUCGUAGUAUCGAGAUUGGAACUUGAUGAUAGAUUGGACUCUUCCACUUAUGGGUAGUUCGAUAAUAUCAUUUGUUCGGGGAUUUAACCAUAAUCGACGGGAGUCGACUUUUGAGUUAACUUUAUUUUGAAUAUUUCAAAAGAAUUAUGAGAUCAACCCGAUUAACAUAAUUGAUAUUGUUAAUCAAUAUUUUUGGUUAGAUUGAGGUUGUUGGAGGCCAUUUGAUUGGUGUUCUAGACAUUGCAAGGUUAGAAAACUUUUCGUUAAUGAGGUAAGUGAGACUUUAAGUUUUGAUACUUGCUUUUCAAAACCUGUCUUGAAAAUGUAUUUUAUCUGCGGUGUCCAUGUGUUGGGACAAGGGUGCGCUUGGCAGAAUCGGUGAUCUUUGACUAGCCGCAAAUAUAUUAUUUUAUGACAAAAAUAAUACUAAAAUUACUUUGUAAGUUGUUUGAUGGUGUGAUAUGGCUGUGAGCCAUGAUGCUGGGUUUGAUGGUUUGAUACGGUUGUGAGCCAUGAUGUUGGGGCAUUGUGUAUGCUUUUGUACAUCACUAGAGCAUUGUGUAUGUUUCUUGAUAUAAUUGAGGCAUUGUGUAUGCUUCUGUGUUCAUUUGUAUGCUCUUUACAUAUUUGAGGCAUUGUGGUGUCGUCGUGGACUUGUCGGGGUGUUAGUAAAUUUUUUACACUGUCAUUUAUGACAAGUCCUUAGUGUAAAUUGUGUUGAGAUAUAAAAUGCUACCUGUUAAAUACUGGUCUAAACUUUAUUGAGUAUUAUAUUGUGCAAUAAUUUCUGUGCAUAUUAUAUAUGUACUUUUUGUGUGUUUGUAUUUUCUAAUACUUGUUCCAGGGUAUUUAAAGUGGCGGGUCGAGAAUCCUACUGGGUUAUAUUCACGUAUAACUCACUCCUUACCUGCAUAUCCAUGUAGAUACUAUUCGUGGAGACAGAGCUAGUAGCUGACGAGUUCUCUAGAGUUGAUCCAAUUAUUGAGGUGAGUCAUUGCAUUAUUCGUGGAGGCUGCCAAAAAGUCUUUAUCAUUUAUUCAUAUGAUGUUUUUUAUAUUCCUCUUAGAUGCUCCAUGGUCUAGUGUGGGAUUUGGGAUAGAGUGUUAUUCCUUAAUUUUCAUUAUUAUUAUUCAUAAAUAUUUAUGGAAUAAUUUAGAUCGGUAAUUAUGCAUCAAAUUAUCAAAAUAUUGAAACUUGCGUUUAUUUUGAUUGACUUUUUAAAAAAAAUGCUAAUUGUAUGGUAUAAAUUGGUUUACCUGGCGGGUAGUGUUAGUUGAGUGUCAGUCACGACUAGAGGAUACUUUAGGACGUGACAUAAACACUUUUCAAAGCAAGCAGAUUUUGGAAGUUUGGUCAAAUAUGCUAUUAAAUUGGGGCAAAAUUGCGGUGUAUAUGGCAACGUAUCAUGCAAGUCCCCAUUAAAUCAACCCCAAGAUGAAUAAUUAACCUAAAUAAUCGCUCACCUUAUCUCUUUAACUAAAAGUAGUCGAUGGAUGUAUAACAUAUGGAUAAUUCAUAUAUAAUAUAUCUAAUAAUCGUGUAUAAUCGAUAUAAUCGACUAGAGAAAAUAAAUGGCAAAUCCGACGGGCUGUUUAUGUAAAGAUUCCAAUCAGGAUUAACUCAUGGGCUAGCAGCCCACUUUAUUGGGCUAGGUAGAAAAAAAAGUAAAAUUGUACUACGAGGGACACUAGUAAGGCCUUGAUACCAAGGGAGUCAUAUGCUGGUGAAAAUUCUUGACUCUAGUCUCUUGAAGGAAUUACAAAUAGGAUACCUUGGGACACUGCUUAAUAAAACAGAGAAAUGGGUUAUUAUUAUGUAAGAAGGCAAGUCUUUGUUUAUCAGAGCACAACAUGAACAUCAUCUCUCUUAAGAAAAACACAAUAAAACCCCAUAUAUAUUUUCAAGGGAAAACUUCAAUAAGAGACCUAAGGCCAAAGAUUGGUCUUAUAUUGUAACGAGUAAAGCCAGCUUCAAGGAAUAGCUUUCCCCAUUCUUCCUCAGUUCUUUCUUUUGCAGUAAAAACCAUUGCCAUCCACAUGUCAAACAUGAGCUUCACUUCAGUCAUGUCUGGCUCUUCUUCAUUUCUAUUCAAUAUCAUGUCAAUGAUAAGGACCUUCCCUUUUCUUCCCUCUUCAUUCUCUGCAACAGCUUCUCUGCAUUUCUUCAGUAGCUUGACACAAUCCUCAUCUCUCCAACUGUGCAAUACAUGCUGCAAAACAUAACAAUGUGACACUGUAUCGAAUUUUGAUUAAUUUGAGCAAUAUUCUGCCAACUUCAAAGAUGGUUAGUUAGAUCAAACAGACGUAAAAUUAGUUUAACAAUUAAUUUAAAUAAUAUAAAAAGGAUCUAGAAAGUUGAAUUCAUGUGAAAAAUUUGUGCUUCUGUAUAAUCUAUGCUAGUAUAGAAGGUUGUGCCUCAGAUAGUGUAUAGAAAAUGGAGAAACAAAUUCCAACCUAAGUAGAAGUUGCCCAAAUUAUAUUUGACAAUCUAUGUGGGGAUUUAAUUUUAGUGUACUUAACCUGCUUUUUUUUUCCGAGUUACCAAUCUCACUUUUAUGGACUGCUCUUUUAAGUGAUUUGAUAGUGUGCUAAAAUCAAACUCAUGUACAUAAAGGAUGUUAAGUAUAAAGUUCUUGUAUAUACCUUAAGCAAAAUGGCAUCAGCGUGAGGAAUAGAUUGAAACAUAUCCCCUCCAACAUAGCUUAAAUUCUCACUUUGUGGCAUGUUGGCAACAACAUGUUGAAGAUCAAGGACAGUGCACUUCAAGUGAGGAAAUGCCUCAAAAAUGGUCUUAGCUAUAAUCCCAAUGCCCCCUCCAACAUCAACCAAUGAGUUCAUCCCCUCAAAAACUUCCUUACAAUCCUUGACAACUAAUCUCAUCAUUUGGGAAUCACUAGCCAUUCCUUCAUUGAAAUCUUUGUCGAAUCUUGGAUUUUGUGCACAAAAUUCCCACAUAGGUACCCCAUGGGCUGUCUCAAAUGCUGUGGCUUCUUCAUUCUUAUUGUGAAACCAUUCAAGCAUUAGUUGCCAAGGAGUGACAACGAUAGGGUCAAUCAUUACUCUAACGCAAGGUGACAAGUUUGGGAAUUCACUCUUAAGAAGCAGCCUUGAAGGAGUUGUCAAAAUAUAUCCCUCUGUCUCUGAGUUUUCGUCGAUCUUUGCUGUAGCAAAGAAUCCAGAGUGCGCCAACAGGCGCAUUAGUCGAUAAAUGCCUAUUGAUUUUGAUGAGGGAAGUUUGAGUGCUGAAACUAGCUCAGGAAGAGUGAUUGGUUUUCUGUGGUUAUGUAUAAUAUCUGGUAUGCCUAGAUGAAUGGCACAAUUCAAGGCCAUGGAAUUUGCAUAACCAAAUGCAUGCUUGUAGAUAUGAGCCUGUGCUUUGAACAACUCAUUAAUAUUAUCUGUUUCCAUUAUUAGCUCAGGAAGUUCUCUAUAAUUGUUGCUGAAACUAGGCAAGUGUGAUACAUGAGCUAUCUUUAUGUUUAUGUAUUGAACUAGGCUUUUGAUGGCAUGCUCAGAAUUGUGACAACUCACUCUUUUCUUUGUCAUAUGGUUCACUGUUGGCUUGUGUGACAUUCAAAUGUCAGCUCUAAGCUUAUUCUCAUGUUUACCCUAGGACUUCAAUUUCCUGUCUUUUAGCAUUGAAACUUAACCGCCCUUUUGUUUGUUUUUAUAUAUCCAUCUCUGUAUUGCUUUCUGUUUUUCAUUUAAACUUCCUCAACUACUUAUUCCAAAUAUCAAAUACUACCCAUGUUAAGGCUUUUUUGGCUUUGAAGAGCUCUCUUUUUUUUUUUAUUGAAAAAAAGAAUAUUUUAAAAUCUUUAGCUUUCCUUUUUAAAAAUUGGUUAUUUACUAUUGAGUAGAAAAUAAUAAACAGCUAUACCAAGUACGUGCAGAGCUAGCUAGCUAUUGCAAAAUCAUAUCAUUUCAUUUACUUCAAUCCCAUUUAAAAUUUUCAGCCAUUUUUGGGAAAAGCUCAAACACGUUGUGCAAACUUAAACAAUCAUCUGAUUGUUUAUUUAAUACUGCAUGUAGGUUCAUCAUAAUUCUUACUUACAUAAUAUAUUUAAGGAAAAACUUCAAUAAGGGACCUUAGGCCAAAGACAGGGGUAAUCUUGAAGGUCAUGAAUCCAGCCUCAAGGAAUAUCUUUUCCCAUUCUUUCUCAGUUCUCUCUCUUCCAGGGAGAUAUACCAUCAUCAAUACAUCAAAAAUGAGCUUGAGUUGAGUCAUGUCUGCUUCUUCUUCAUCUCCAUUCAGCACUAUGUCAAUGAUAAUGACCUUCCCUUUUCUUCCUUCAUUUUUAUCCCUCAUAGCUUCUCUGCAUCUCUUUAGCAUCUUCACACAAUCCUCAUCAUUCCAAUCAUGCAUAACCAGCUGCAAAUUAAAUGUCAUAUUUUCUCAACCAUACGACCAUGUGGAACAUAACUUAGCAUUAUGUCAUAGGUGAUGAGCCACCCAAGAUUACUAUUUACGAACUUAGAGAUCAGAUGUAGUACAUGUCAAUUUGUAAACAAAAGAAACAAAAGUUAGCAUCUUCUUACCUUAAACAAAAAAGCACCAGCAGGGGGAAUGGACUGAAACAUGUCACCUCCCACAUAUUUCAAAUUUUCUGUAUCCGGCAUGUUAGCAACAACAUGAGGGAGGUCUAAAACUGUGCAUUUUAGAUGAGGAAAUGCAGCCAAAAUAGUCUUAGCAAUAACACCAGUGCCACCUCCGACAUCAACCAAGGAAUCCACCUCUUCAAAAACUAGUUUGCAGUCCUUCACUACCAAACUCAUCAUUUCGGAAUCACUAGCCAUAGCUUCAUUGAUAACUUUGUUGAAUCCUGGAUUUUGGUCACAAUAUUCCCACAAGGGUGUACCAUAUGCUGUUUCAAAUGGGGUGGCUUCAUUUCCAAGAAACCAAUCGCCUAAAGAAUGCCAUGGAUUAACCAUAAUAGGAUCAAGCAUUGCUCUGGCAAAAGGUGACAAAUUUGGGAUUUCACUCUUCAAAAGCAGCUUAGAAGAAGCUGUAAGAACGUACCCUUCUUGUGUUUCUGAGUUUUCAUCAAGCUUUUUAGUAGCAAAAAAACCAGAGUAUACCAACAGACGCAUCAGUCGAUGAAUUCCAUUUGAUUUUGCAGGAGGAAGUUUCAGCUCUGAAACUAACUCAGAGAGAGUCGUUGGCUGCUUAUGACUAUGAAUUAUAUCCGGUAUGCCUAACUGAAUUGCACAACGAAGA